RNAcentral lists this ribosomal RNA (472 nucleotides) under uncultured bacterium. RNAcentral's name for it is "bacterial SSU rRNA". It matches the Rfam family "Bacterial small subunit ribosomal RNA", at positions 29 to 524 of the family's 1533-position model. The record is from RNAcentral.
AACGAACGCUGGCGGCAUGCCUAACACAUGCAAGUCGAACGCCCUGCAAGGGGAGUGGCGAACGGGUGAGUAACGCGUGGGAACAUACCCUUCGGUUCGGAAUAACUCAGGGAAACUUGGGCUAAUACCGGAUACGUCCGUGAGGAGAAAGAUUUAUCGCCGAAGGAUUGGCCCGCGUAAGACUAGCUAGUUGGUGAGGUAACGGCUCACCAAGGCUAUGAUCUUUAGCUGGUCUGAGAGGACGAUCAGCCACACUGGGACUGAGACACGGCCCAGACUCCUACGGGAGGCAGCAGUGGGGAAUAUUGGACAAUGGGCGCAAGCCUGAUCCAGCCAUGCCGCGUGAGUGAUGAAGGCCUUAGGGUUGUAAAGCACUUUCGGCAGGGACAAACAAACGGAGCUAACAUCUCCGUUCCUCGAUGGUACCUGAAGAAGAAGCACCGGCUAACUCUGUGCCAGCCGCCGCCGUAAU